UACGGAGGGCGCAAGCGUUGUUCGGAAUCACUGGGCGUAAAGCGCGUGUAGGCGGCUUGGCAAGUCGGGUGUGAAAUCCCGAGGCUCAACCUCGGAACUGCACUCGAAACUGCCUCGCUCGAGUCCCGGAGAGGGUGGCGGAAUUCCAGGUGUAGGGGUGAAAUCCGUAGAUAUCGGGAGGAACACCAGUGGCGAAGGCGGCCACCUGGACGGUGACUGACGCUGAGACGCGAAAGCGUGGGGAGCAAACAGG
Molecule: ribosomal RNA, 253 nt
Filed under: uncultured bacterium
Lineage: Bacteria
Description: partial 16S ribosomal RNA
Rfam family: Bacterial small subunit ribosomal RNA
Source: RNAcentral